AUUGAACGCUGGCGGCAUGCUUUACACAUGCAAGUCGAACGGUAACAGGCCUUCGGGUGCUGACGAGUGGCGAACGGGUGAGUAAUGCAUCGGAACGUGCCCAGAGGUGGGGGAUAACGCAACGAAAGCUGUGCUAAUACCGCAUGUGAUCUGAGGAUGAAAGCGGGGGACCAGGCAGCAAUGUUUGGCCUCGCGCCUUUGGAGCGGCCGAUGUCAGAUUAGGUAGUUGGUGGGGUAAAGGCCUACCAAGCCGACGAUCUGUAGCUGGUCUGAGAGGACGACCAGCCACACUGGGACUGAGACACGGCCCAGACUCCUACGGGAGGCAGCAGUGGGGAAUUUUGGACAAUGGGCGCAAGCCUGAUCCAGCAAUGCCGCGUGCGGGAAGAAGGCCUUCGGGUUGUAAACCGCUUUUGUACGGAACGAAAAGGCUCUGGCUAAUACCUGGGGCUGAUGACGGUACCGUAAGAAUAAGCACCGGCUAACUACGUG
This 492-nucleotide ribosomal RNA is filed under the name uncultured bacterium. RNAcentral describes it as "partial 16S ribosomal RNA". It matches the Rfam family "Bacterial small subunit ribosomal RNA", at positions 30 to 507 of the family's 1533-position model. The record is from RNAcentral.